UGUGGUGUGUGUGUGUGGUUUUGUUGUGUGUGUGCGUGUGUGUGUGUGUAUGUGUAUAUGUAUGUAUGUACAUAUGUACAUAUGCGCACACACACACACACACACACACACACACCCCACACACAACACACAUAUAUGUAUAUAGUAUAUGUAUUAUGUAUUAUAUAUAUAUAUAUAUAUACAUAUAUAUAU
This is a small nucleolar RNA of Penaeus monodon (black tiger shrimp), 192 nucleotides long. RefSeq annotates it as small nucleolar RNA SNORA23. Lineage: Eukaryota; Metazoa; Arthropoda; Malacostraca; Decapoda; Penaeidae. The transcript has a single exon. The record is from RefSeq and is a predicted model, not a curated record.